This 389-nucleotide ribosomal RNA is filed under the name uncultured archaeon. RNAcentral describes it as "bacterial SSU rRNA". It matches the Rfam family "Archaeal small subunit ribosomal RNA", at positions 490 to 879 of the family's 1478-position model. The record is from RNAcentral.
GGGGUUCGGAGUUAUUGGGCCUAAAGCAUCCGUAGCCGGCUGUUCAAGUUUCCGGUUAAAUCCACACGCUUAACGUAUGGGCUGCCGGAAAUACUGUUCAGCUAGGGAGCGGGAGAGGUAGACGGUACUCGAUAGGAAGGGGUAAAAUCCUUUGAUCUAUUGAUGACCACCUGUGGCGAAGGCGGUCUACCAGAACACGUUCGACGGUGAGGGAUGAAAGCUGGGGGAGCAAACCGGAUUAGAUACCCGGGUAGUCCCAGCUGUAAACGAUGCAGACUCGGUGAUGCAUUGGCUUAUGGCCAAUGCAGUGCCGCAGGGAAGCCGUUAAGUUUGCCGCCAGGGAAGUACGGUCGCAAGACUGAGACUUAAAGGAAUUGGCGGGGGAGCAC